UACAGAGGUCCCAAGCGUUGUUCGGAUUCAUUGGGCGUAAAGGGUGCGUAGGCGGUGGGGUAAGUUGGAUGUGAAAUCUUGGGGCUUAACCUCAAAAUUGCAUUCAAUACUGCUCCGCUCGAGUUCUGUAGAGCAGAUUGGAAUUUACGGUGUAGCAGUGAAAUGCGUAGAUAUCGUAAGGAACGCCAGUGGCGAAAGCGAAUCUCUGGGCAGCAACUGACGCUGAGGCACGAAGGCCAGGGGAGCAAACGGG
RNAcentral lists this ribosomal RNA (253 nucleotides) under uncultured bacterium. RNAcentral describes it as "partial 16S ribosomal RNA". It matches the Rfam family "Bacterial small subunit ribosomal RNA", at positions 524 to 776 of the family's 1533-position model. The record is from RNAcentral.